ACCGUUAGGCUAUAUAUCUACCACUAUAAGAUUGUCGGAACCGGCUCCGAGAACAGAGUCAAUAUUAGGCAGACUUCCCAAUAAUGACAAUCCUCCCACCAUCAUCAUGUCAGAAUCGCUACCUUUUAGGUCUUUUUGUCUCUCUCACCAAUGGCUGCCAUAUUUUUAAAGAAGAAAAGGAAGAAAAGAGCCUUCAGUUGAGAUAAUGAACCCGUUAAGAAUGUUACACUAUUUAAACAUAGAAGAAAAACAAAGAUUGAAAGAGAGAUAAAUCUCAGGGCAGCCACCAUCAUCAUGAAGCGGGAACUGUUAUUGGUA
This is a long non-coding RNA of Quercus lobata, 318 nucleotides long. RefSeq lists it as uncharacterized. NCBI's taxonomy places the organism in Eukaryota, Viridiplantae, Streptophyta, Magnoliopsida, Fagales, Fagaceae. The record is from RefSeq and is a predicted model, not a curated record. The transcript has 3 exons.